This is a long non-coding RNA of Tupaia belangeri chinensis (Chinese tree shrew), 1629 nucleotides long. RefSeq lists it as uncharacterized. Lineage: Eukaryota; Metazoa; Chordata; Mammalia; Scandentia; Tupaiidae. The transcript is spliced from 6 exons. The record is from RefSeq and is a predicted model, not a curated record.
CAAACCUGUAAGAUGCACAAAAUGAUCAAGCACGUAGAUCGUUUUAGUUCAUGCGAAGAUCAACAGAUGGCUGCGAUUUCAGACACAAAUUUCAGAUCUAUCCUGAAUCAGCUACAGGUGUGACACUUGACAAUCAUGUACCGAAAUAAAUAAGUUAAGUACAAAACUUCAAACGUUUUCUAGACCAUUUCUGCAGUGGUUCUCUGGAAUCAAAUUACCUGGCACUGUCAACCACCACAUUUUACAUCAGACCAGAAGUGGUGAUUUAAAAGGAGAGAAUCAUCCUACAUUUUAUUCAGCCUAUGCCGUAUUGGUUCGCCCAGAAUUGGGGGUCUCCAGAGACAUGAGGCGUAAAGAGAAAACACUAACCCUGGAAAAUCCUGAACCAACAAAGACACCACUCACCUGCUUUAAAUCAGUAAUCAAAAUCACAUUCACUAAAUGAAGACCAUUUAAUAAAUGAAUAGAAGAUAACAGAAAGACUUUCAUGCAGUUCCACCAACUAUCCUCAUGGUCUCCUUUAAGAAGCUCAUGUGAAACUGUGGUGCUCAGAACAAACUCGCUCCAUUUGUAAUGUGGCCAGUUCAGCGUUAGUGGAGAAGGACUACUUAAUCCAGACAUAUUUCCACGAAGGCCAGAUAAGACUGUCUUUGUUCCUUCGGCAACUAUGUCACUCAGCUGAGUCAGUCUGCCAGCUGCUGCCUGAUGCAUGGCUGAGGGUAGACACACAAGUUACAACAUGUGUACUUAAUGGGAAGUCGAAAAGAAAACAGCAACUGAGAAACGUCCUCUCACUCUACCUGAAAGCUUCUAUAAUGUAGUUGAAGAAGUAUUAAGUCAAACCUAGCUGGAAUGAACACUUGCUCUUCUAAAGGCUGAAAGCCAAUAAACAACCACAGGUUACCGCUCAACUUCAGAAACAGCAGCAGCAUCUGAAAGCCAUGUAUCUUUGCUUAAGCUAAUCAUCUUCAUGUAACAUUUGACUAAGCAAGAAGGUUGUCAAAUUGCUCUGACAAUUGCAACAACAAGGUCACCCUGGUUGUCAUGAAGAAGUACAACAUACUAACUUUUGUGUCACAGAAAAUGAACUGUGAAGCUGAUCCCAAACUCAAAAGCCACCUACAACAGGCAAUCCAACCACUGAAAUGUAUGUUUACUGCUGUCAAGACUCUUCCUUCAUAUGCCUCAGGACCUGUCUGAUCCUGCUAUAAAGCACAUGUUUGCAUGUGCAGCAUUUUGUAAUUACAAAUACUGAGCUAAAUACUCACAGUAGAACUGUGCAAGGACAUUGCACAUAAAAUGGGACUGGAAAAACAUCUUGCAAAACGCUUUAUGGGACAACUGCAUCAUCCCCCUAUUUGGAAGGUACAUUUCUCCCACAAAUGCCCAUCUACUUUCCACAACUAGUCUUGGAAAUCUUUCUUUUCUCCUCUAUACAAUCUUAAAUUACUUGCCAUGGGCUAAAUUAUGAGUCAAACCACUCACAGUGGAAUUACUGAAAAAAUAAACAUCAAAUUAAAAGUAUAUUACUACUUUUAUUUAGCAUUUCAUUAAUGCUAAAAUUUGAUAUUUCAACACGAGUGGCUGGAGGCAAAAUGAAAGUGGUAGAAACAAGGAAGCGCCGGGUGC